UACGUAGGGUGCAGGCGUUACUCGGAAUUACUGGGCGUAAAGCGUGCGUAGGCGGUUUGUUAAGACAGGUGUGAAAUCCCCGGGCUUAACCUGGGAACUGCGCUUGUUACUGGCAGACUUGAGUGUGGCAGAGGGGGGUGGAAUUCCAGGUGUAGCAGUGAAAUGCGUAGAUAUCUGGAGGAACACCGAUGGCGAAGGCAGCCCCCUGGGCUAACACUGACGCUGAUGCACGAAAGCGUGGGGAACAAACAGG
RNAcentral lists this ribosomal RNA (253 nucleotides) under uncultured bacterium. RNAcentral's name for it is "partial 16S ribosomal RNA". It matches the Rfam family "Bacterial small subunit ribosomal RNA", at positions 524 to 776 of the family's 1533-position model. The record is from RNAcentral.